Molecule: ribosomal RNA, 484 nt
Filed under: uncultured bacterium
Lineage: Bacteria
Description: partial 16S ribosomal RNA
Rfam family: Bacterial small subunit ribosomal RNA
Source: RNAcentral
AUUGAACGCUGGCGGCAUGCUUUACACAUGCAAGUCGAACGGCAGCGCGGGCUUCGGCCUGGCGGCGAGUGGCGAACGGGUGAGUAAUACAUCGGAACGUGCCCAGUAGUGGGGGAUAGCUCGGUGAAAGCCGGAUUAAUACCGCAUACGACCUGAGGGUGAAAGCGGGGGAUCUUCGGACCUCGCGCUAUUGGAGCGGCCGAUGGCAGAUUAGCUAGUUGGUGGGGUAAAGGCCUACCAAGGCGACGAUCUGUAGCUGGUCUGAGAGGACGACCAGCCACACUGGGACUGAGACACGGCCCAGACUCCUACGGGAGGCAGCAGUGGGGAAUUUUGGACAAUGGGCGAAAGCCUGAUCCAGUAAUGCCGCGUGUGUGAUGAAGGCCUUCGGGUUGUAAAGCACUUUUGGCGGGAACGAAAAGGACUGUGCCAAUACCACGGUUCGAUGACGGUACCCGCAGAAUAAGCACCGGCUAACUACGUG